Molecule: ribosomal RNA, 396 nt
Filed under: uncultured bacterium
Lineage: Bacteria
Description: partial 16S ribosomal RNA
Rfam family: Bacterial small subunit ribosomal RNA
Source: RNAcentral
AAUAUUGCACAAUGGGGGAAACCCUGAUGCAGCGACCCCGCGUGAGCGAAGAAGGCCUUCGGGUCGUAAAGCUCUGUCUGAAGGGAAGAAACGGACGGUACCUGAGGAGGAUGCCCGGGCGAACUACGUGCCAGCAGCCGCGGUAAUACGUAGGGGGCGAGCGUUAUGCGGAAUUAUUGGUCGUAAAGGGUGCGUAGGCUGCCUGUUAAGUAAUAUGUGAAAGGCUACGGCUUACCCGUAGUUAGCAUUUGAAACUAAAAGGCUUGAGUGCAGGAGAGGAGAGUGAAAUUCCUAGUGUAGCGGUGAAAUGCGUAGAUAUUGGGAGGAACACCAGUGGCGAAGGCGACUCUCUGGACUGCAACUGACGUUGAGGCACGAAAGCGUGGGGAGCGAACA